AAUGAACGCUGGCGGCAUGCCUAAUACAUGCAAGUCGAACGACAGCACAGUAAGCUCUUUCCUCUGACGUUAGCGAGUGGCGGACGGGUGACAAGUACAUCACCUUCUACUUUUUCUUGGAUGAUAUCGUAAGGAAACUGACGCUACUACCGCAUAUGUCCUACGGGUUAAUUCAGUAGAUAUUGGCGGCUUUCCCGUCUCUAUUAGCUGAUGUCGGAUUAGCUAGUUGGCUAGGUAAAGGCCCACCAAGGCAACGAUCCGUAGCUGAUCUGAGAGGAUGAUCGGCCACACUGGAACUGAGACACGGUCCAGACUCCUACGGGAGGCAGCAGUAGGGAAUCUUCCGCAAUGGGCGAAAGCCUGAUGGAGCAAUGCCGCGUGAGUGAUGAAGGCCUUCGGAUCGUAAAGCCCUGUUGUUAGGAAAGAACAAAAGCGGAAGAAACUAUGGACGUCCUGACGGUACCCAAACAGAAAGCAACGGCUAACUUCGUG
Molecule: ribosomal RNA, 492 nt
Filed under: uncultured bacterium
Lineage: Bacteria
Description: partial 16S ribosomal RNA
Rfam family: Bacterial small subunit ribosomal RNA
Source: RNAcentral